RNAcentral lists this small nuclear RNA (319 nucleotides) under Gorilla gorilla gorilla (western lowland gorilla). RNAcentral's name for it is "7SK RNA". Lineage: Eukaryota; Metazoa; Chordata; Mammalia; Primates; Hominidae. The record is from Rfam by way of RNAcentral.
GAUAGAUGAACUGACAUCUCUCACCUCCUGGGUCACCAGAUUCUAUUUUUCUACUAAUCUGAUUGGUGGAGUGGGUAUCUCUUUCUUUCUUCUCUAUACCAUGUGUGUCUUAUCUGAAACAGUUCACUCAAUCAAAAAGGAUUACCUUUUUUUUUUUUUUAUAGAAGAAGACCUUCUUUUCUUUACCACAUGGGUAUAUGAGUUAAGAUUUUCUUCUGCUAGAAUUUCCAAGAAGAUUUAGCAGAUCCACAGCUGUUAGACCUGUAGCAGUUAAAAUAAUUCCUUAUUAAGUCACUAAACCUGAUUGUAGACUGUCAUG